RNAcentral lists this ribosomal RNA (284 nucleotides) under uncultured bacterium. RNAcentral's name for it is "partial 16S ribosomal RNA". It matches the Rfam family "Bacterial small subunit ribosomal RNA", at positions 29 to 305 of the family's 1533-position model. The record is from RNAcentral.
AAUGAACGCUGGCGGCGCGCCUAAUACAUGCAAGUCGAGCGAGAAGACGUAGCAAUACGUUUGUAAAGCGGCGAACGGGUGAGGAAUACAUGGGUAACCUACCCUCGAGUGGGGAAUAACUAGCCGAAAGGUUAGCUAAUACCGCGUACGCUCCUUGGACUUCGGUUCAGGGAGGAAAGCGAUACCGUGGGUAUCGCGCUCUUGGAUGGGCUCAUGUCCUAUCAGCUUGUUGGGAGGUACGGCUCACCAAGGCUUCGACGGGUAGCUGGUCUGAGAGGACGAUC